Molecule: transfer RNA, 75 nt
Filed under: Methylobacillus sp.
Lineage: Bacteria; Pseudomonadati; Pseudomonadota; Betaproteobacteria; Nitrosomonadales; Methylophilaceae
Also listed under: 19 other names
Description: tRNA-Thr
Rfam family: tRNA
About the family: Transfer RNA (tRNA) molecules are approximately 80 nucleotides in length.
Source: RNAcentral
GCCCUUGUGGCUCAGUGGUAGAGCACUCCCUUGGUAAGGGAGAGGUCGUGGGUCCGAUUCCCACCAAGGGCACCA